This 305-nucleotide ribosomal RNA is filed under the name uncultured bacterium. Its description in RNAcentral is "bacterial SSU rRNA". It matches the Rfam family "Bacterial small subunit ribosomal RNA", at positions 338 to 640 of the family's 1533-position model. The record is from RNAcentral.
CCUACGGGACGCAGCAGUGAGGAAUAUUGGUCAAUGGGCGGAAGCCUGAACCAGCCAAGUCGCGUGAGGGAUUAAGGCCCUGCGGGUCGUAAACCUCUUUUGCCGGGGAGCAGUGGUCCGGACGCGUCCGGGCCGGGAGAGUACCCGGAGAAAAAGCAUCGGCUAACUCCGUGCCAGCAGCCGCGGUAAUACGGAGGAUGCGAGCGUUAUCCGGAUUUAUUGGGUUUAAAGGGUGCGUAGGCGGGCAUUUAAGCCGGCGGUAAAAUGUCCGGGCCCAACCCGGGCCCGCCGGUGAAACUGGGGGG